UGUCGAUGAAAGAACGCAGCAAACUGUGCGUCAUCGUGUGAACUGCAGGACACAUGAACAUCGACAUUUUGAACGCAUAUCGCAGUCCAUGCUGUUAUGUACUUUAAUUAAUUUUAUAGUGCUGCUUGGACUACAUAUGGUUGAGGGUUGUAAGACUAUGCUAAAAAAGUUGCUUAAAAUAUUUGUUUUAAAUUAUUUGAGCAUAUGGUAUAUUAUUGGAUAAUAAUGUGUGAGCAUAUUUUUUUUAGUGCACACACGAAAUAUUCAUAAUAUUAAUUUAUAUAUGGAAAUACAUACUAUCUCUCUCAUUGUGUAUAAUUUGUAUGAGAAAACUGAAGAUAUAUAUUUUCUUUUUUCAAUUCAAAUAAUAUCGAGAAAUGUCUAGCAUAAAAAAGUUUUUUUCAUCUAGAAUUGUCUCGAUUAUUAUAGAUGCGAUAAGAAAUUUGUUGUAAAUAAUAUUAUUCUUCAAAAAUUAUUGUACAUUUUCAUAAAAUUGAAUUUAUCGCAUAUAGUAUUCAAUUAAAAUUGUUUUAUACAACCUCAACUCAUAUGGGACUACCCCCUGAAUUUAAGCAUAUUAAUUAGGGGAGGAAAAGAAACUAACAAGGAUUUUCUUAGUAGCGGCGAGCGAAAAGAAAUCAGUUCAGCACUAAGUCACUUUGUCUAUAUGGCAAAUGUGAGAUGCAGUGUAAGGAACAUCAAUAUUCUAGUAUGAGAAAUUAACGAUUUAAGUCCUUCUUAAAUGAGGCCAUUUACCCAUAGAGGGUGCCAGGCCCGUAUAACGUUAAUGAUUACUAGAUGGUGUUUCCAAAGAGUCGUGUUGCUUGAUAGUGCAGCACUAAGUGGGUGGUAAACUCCAUCUAAAACUAAAUAUAACCAUGAGACCGAUAGUAAACAAGUACCGUGAGGGAAAGUUGAAAAGAACUCUGAAUAGAGAGUUAAAUAGUACGUGAAACUGCUUAGAGGUUAAGCCCGAUGAACCUGAAUAUCCGUUAUGGAAAAUUCAUCAUUAGAAUUGUAAUGUUUAAUUAAUAUUAUAACAAUAGUGUGCAUUUUUUCCAUAUAAGGACAUUGUAAUCUAUUAACAUAAUUAAUUUAUCAAAAAAUUGUGAAUUAUUGAUUAUUUCAAUUAUAGUGCUUGCAUUAUAACAUGAUAUAAAUGUCGUAAAUUUGAUAAAGUGCUGAUAGAUUUAUAUGAAUACUGUGCGUUAAUUUUUCGGAAUUAUAUAAUGGCAUGAUUAUCGAUGAUUUUUGUGUUUAUUAUAUGCACUUGUAUGAUUAACAAUGCGAAAGAUUCAGGAUACCUUCGGGACCCGUCUUGAAACACGGACCAAGGAGUCUAACAUAUGUGCAAGUUAUUGGGAUAAAAACCUAAUAGCGUAAUUAACUUGACUAUUAAUGGGAUUAGUUUUUUAACUAUUUAUAGUUAAUUAACACAAUCCCGGGGCGCUCUAUAUAGUUAUGUAUAAUUGAUAGUUAUAUUGUUUAUGCCUCUAACUGGAACGUACCUUGAGCAUAUAUGCUGUGACCCGAAAGAUGGUGAACUAUACUUGAUCAGGUUGAAGUCAGGGGAAACCCUGAUGGAAGACCGAAACAGUUCUGACGUGCAAAUCGAUUGUCAGAAUUGAGUAUAGGGGCGAAAGACCAAUCGAACCAUCUAGUAGCUGGUUCCCUUCCGA
Molecule: ribosomal RNA, 1679 nt
Filed under: Drosophila biseriata
Lineage: Eukaryota; Metazoa; Arthropoda; Insecta; Diptera; Drosophilidae
Description: eukaryotic LSU rRNA
Rfam family: Eukaryotic large subunit ribosomal RNA (bases 536-1679)
Source: RNAcentral